Long non-coding RNA from Pongo pygmaeus (Bornean orangutan), 7092 nucleotides. RefSeq lists it as uncharacterized. The record is from RefSeq and is a predicted model, not a curated record. NCBI's taxonomy places the organism in Eukaryota, Metazoa, Chordata, Mammalia, Primates, Hominidae. The transcript has 3 exons.
CUGGCUCGGCCCGGGCGCACGCAGGUGGGGCGCAGGCCCAGACGGCAGCCGACUCUCCCGAGACACAGGGCCGAGAAGAGCCGUCGGCAAACGCACCAGACGGGCGGAAAAAAAGAGCAGGAUGAAGGGAAGAAGACAUAGCCAGCCAGAGAAGGGAGAAGAGGAGAAACAUCUGGAAAAUAUCAGUGUUGCAGAGCCUCCCGGAAACUGACCUCGCCACCGAAAGGGUGAAUGGGGUCAACAUGGAAACAGCAUGAGAGGGGCCACAGAAGGGAUUCACCAGGAAGAAGAAGAAAGGCGGGGCUGAGGUGGCCAGGACAGCACGACAUCACAUCUGACCAAGGCAUCCUCAGCCUUCCUUCAGAAAAGCAGCAGAAGGAAAAAGGCAUCAAACAUCACAGUGUGGAACUCAGGCUUGAAAGAAACCUUAAAUAUUGUCUAUUCUUUUUUUUUUUUGGAGAUGGAGUUUUGCUUUUGUUGCCUAGUCUAGAGUGCAGUGGUGCAAUCUCAGCUCACUGCAACCUCUGCCUCCCAGGUUCAAGCAAUUCUCCUGCCUCAAUCUCCCGAGUAGCUGAGAUUACAGGCAUGUGCCACCCUGCCUGGCUAAUUUUGUAUUUUUAGUAGAGAUGAAGUUUCACCAUGUUGGCCAGGCUGGUCUCGAACUCCUGACCUCAGGUGAUCCACCCACCUCAGCCUCCCAAAGUGCUGGGAUUACAAGUGUGAGACUCCGUGCCCAGCCAGAGGUUGUUUAAUCCUCCACCUGGCUGGUGAAGCAAUCUCCUAUCACAUCACCGGCAACAGACAUUCAUCCAGAAUUGCCUUGACAAACUUUAUUACCAGAGACAGCCUCCUUGAAAAAACAACUCCAUUUCCAUCCUAACCGUUAGAAAGUUCCUGUGUAUACUAAACUAAAAUUCAAGUCUAAGGGCAGUAAUUGUCAAAUUAUUUCCACUCUAACCACUGCCUUUACUCCUUACAGCAAGGAAAUAAUUUUGUGACGAGAUAAACAUAGGUUUUUAACUAAAUUUUAUUUUCAACAACCUAGUGGAGACCCCUCACAUUGCCUAGCUGAUGUAGCUGAAUUCAGUGUGAGACAGUUAUGCAACUUUCCAGUGCUUGCCACACAUCUGCUACUGAUUAUCGUGAGCAUUCAGAAGCAAGCAGCUCUGCUCAAGACACCCAGUGAUAAUCUUUCUCCUCAGUGUGCUCACUCCAAGGGGGCAGAAAACAAUGCCAAGACAGGUUGAGUAACGGGCCCUACUUGACUGUAUUUGAGCAGUUAAGAGCUUUAUUCAAGUUUCUGAACAAAAUUUGAAAUGUGAAAUGCACAAAGCAGACAAAUGUAGUACUCCAUUUGUGGAAUCUGUACCACAGACUCCUGGUCUGAGAUCUAUUUGAAAGUCUAACCCACUUCUAGUUGCCAUAAUUUGAUUUUGGCCUUGAGUUUCUGACAUGGGUAGAAUCUAUUAACAAUUGUGCCAACUGAUGACUGCUUAGGAGACAGAAAAGGCUGACAUAGGCUUGCAGUUGAGAGUAGCCAAGGCUGACACUCAACAGAAAAACUCAGCAGGUGGUGAAAAUGUGAAAUGAAGCAGAACUUAUCCAAACAGGGCUUCAGGGAAAAUGGGAGGUUAUUUUUGCAGGUAGCAGUGAAAGGCAUGCAUCAGAAGUUUUUCCUCUUGAAUAGGUCAGGUUACAAAAGUUAAGUUACUCAGCCUCUCCUUAAAGAGCUGCAGAAAUAUGUACUAGUUAUGAUUCACAAAGUUGUAGGCAUCAUGAAAAUGAAUGCAUUUUCUGAGAAACUGCUCACCUGAACAAUGUGCUAGCCUACCUAAAAAAGAUGAUAUUAAGUCCAUAAAUUUCCUAGUACAAACAGGAGAUCUAAAAUUCACCAACCUUUUCAAUCUGAAGUCUGUUUCAACAGAUAUUUUACUACUGAACUCAGCAAAGCCCCAUCAUAUGCCGUUUAAUUUUCUCAAUUUCAAUGAUAUAUAAUCAGCCCAUAUCAGAUAGAAAGAAAUGAUCUAAAUGGGUACAUUGGCUACCAUUCCCCCCAAUGAUUUUAUGCUGCAGAGUAAGCAUGAGAAGGAGCUGGGAAUUUGCUGUUCCCUCUCUCCCUCUAGUCUCUGCAUGGACUUUUACACUGUGAGCAUCUCACACACUGAUAAUGAAUGUUGUGUUUAAGGCAAUGUAUUGUUUCAUAGCAAAAUGCCUCAAAGACAAUCUAACUCUAGUAACUGGUCUUAAAGAAAUAACAACCUGUUUCAAUGCUAAGGAAACAGUGGGAGUAAGUCUUAUACUUAAUAGGAGAUGGUAUAUCAGUCUCCAACCUGGUAACUUCCUAAGAGGAUUUUUAAAAUAAUACUGACCCAUACAAUUUUCACUUUACACAUUACUCGUAGUCUUAACCAAACUGGCAUCUUAUAAUCUCAUAUGUUACAGUGAUGUGGUCAAGAGUUGCUGAAAAAGACAUGAUUUUAGUUCUGAGGUCCCCAAAUUAUGUGCCAGUGUACCUCAGGGCACUACAGCAAACUCACAGAGGUGUGCAGGAUAUUUUGUCUUUGAGGGAAACAAAGCAAUACACAACAUUUCUCAGAUGCUUGCAUGAAUGACUAUUUCAAGCAAAUUCACAGUUUAACAUAUUGUGUUAUUUUCCUUUUGAUGAUGUCAUUUCUUUGCAAAGCUAGGUUGUUGGUGGUUGCUGUGAUAAAAGGCAAGUAUUAGUUGAAAAGUGAUGUGGAACAAGAAAUUAGGGUAUUGGGAUUCAACCCAAUUUCUAAGUUUGAGGAACUGUAACAAGUUUACUGCCUCACAGCUCGAAAUUCACCCUUCAUUACCCACUAUGUGAAGACAUAGAAGGGACCUUUACAUAUUUUUUCUUUUGUUAGCUGGUACCAUUCUAAGCUUCAUCAGUGGAGAGUACUGUAGAGAUAUUACAGAAAGAAGCAGUUUUCCUUCCUGGUUCCGGUACAGUCUUUCUGCAGGCUGCUGCAAACACGCAUGGCUCCUAGAGUACCCACACCUUCUUCAGCAACUGGCUCCUGCUGAACAUGAUGGUCAGCACCUCCCAGCCUCCAGCAGCUUCCACUGGCAUCCCUCUCGGUUGAUUUUGCAGCAGAAUGCAUCCAGUGAAAGACCUCCACAUGAAUAGCUUUCCUCAGCAUCUUAGAGGGUAGAUUUCUAGCAAGUUCUGCCAGCAUAGCACCCCAGUGACUUCUCUGCCAGCCCGGGAGCCACAGCAGGCCAUGACCUCUCCAGCAAGGUCUGGAGCCAAGAGAAGCAUGUGUUUGGGUGCUCUAUCAGACCCACGGCCCACAGGUAGGGGCUGCUCCUUAUAUCUGCUAUUCCUCUGUUAUUUAAAGUUCUCUUUACUUCCUACUAGCUAGUCCCCAUUAUAGUGAACUAUUUCUCUUUUUCUUAACAGUUUUCUUUUGUAUUUUUUAAAAAUUGUGGUAAAAUACAAAUAGUAUCAAAUUUACCAUCUUAAUAAUUUUAAUUGUACAGUUCAGGAGCAUUAAGUACAUUCACAUUGUUGUACAAUCAUCACCACUAUCCAUCUCUAGAACUUUUUUCAUCUUGCAAAACUGAAACUCUGUACCCACUGAAGACUAAUUUGCCAUUCUCUGCUCCUGUCAGCCCCUGGCAACCACCAUUCUACUUUUUGUCUCUAUAAAUUUGACUACUCCAGGUAACUUACAUUCAGUGGAAUUAAAGAGUAUUUGUCUUUUUGUGAUGGCUUAUCUCACUUAACAUAACAUCCUCAAGAUUCAUCCAUAUGGUAGCAGGUCAGACUUUCCUUCCUUUUUAAGGCUGGGUGAUACUCCAUUGUAUGUGUAUAUCACAUGUUGUUUAUACAUUCUUCUGUAGAUGGAUACCUGGAUUGCUACCACCUUUUGGGUAUUGGUUUACAAAUAUCUCUUUGAGAUGCCUUUUCAAUUCUUUUGAGUAUAUACCCAGAAGUAAAAUUGCUAAAUCAUAUGGUAAUUCUAUUUUUCAUUUUUUGAGGAACUGUCAUAUUGUUUUCCUAGCUAAUACUUCUUUAUUUUAAACUUUCCUUUAAAUUACUGUGUACUUUAUAUUCUCAUUAGACCCUGACCAAUAUAUGCAGUGCCCAACAGGUACAUACAUUCCAUUAAGAAAUGAAGAGUAACAUAAAAACAUUAUUUUUAAAUAUUUCAAUAUAUAUGUAUUAUUUUUUACAACUACAAAGUUAUUAAUACAGAAAUACUAAGUUGUUUGGAACUAAGUACUUAAUAAAUGAAACUGCUAAGUAUUUAUUUUGUCCUAGAAAUGGCAUGAAAAAAAUUACUGAGACCACUAAAUUACUGAGACCACUAAGGGUACAUGAGCCAAGAACAUUUGGAAGGCUCUGCUCUAGCCUAUAUGUUUCCAGCUGCCAUUAGGACCUGUCUGCUUGAAUGGUUCCUUAGGCUCGCCUUCUCUAGGGGUAUCCCUGAAGGCACAGAUGCAGCCUUAAUAUUAACCGUACUUAAUAUUAUAUUUCUUUAUAAUAAUAAGUUUUUCUCACUUAGGCACUGGGGGAUACAAACCUUACAAUUAUCUUUGACUUAUGCUGCUCUGUCUCCCCUUAUUUCUAAUCUCAUAUCAAAAUGUUUCCUGGAUUGGCCUUUUUUUCUCUCCAUUCCUGCAGCAGUCAGUAAAGCCAUCAUCUCUAGUUAGCACUGCCUAACAGAUUUUAAGCUAGUUUCCCUUAAACAAGACCAUGGGUUGAAAAUUCAAAUGCUCACUGAGGCUGGAAAUAUGUUAAUUCAUACCUGCCACACAAGAAUUGGCUGCCUCAGUCCUUGCACCGAUGAAGGCAACACCAAUAGGACAGGCUGUGGGUGAGGCCCCAUUCCCAGGAUGCCAGCUAUUACAGUGUGGAUGUCUGUCCCUUCCAAGCCUCAUGUUGAAAUGUGAUGGAGGUGGGGCCUGAUAGGAGGUGUUUGGGUCAUGGGGGUGGAUCCUUAACGAAUGGCUUGGUGCCCUCCGCAUGGUAAUGAGUGAGUUCUUGCUCUAUUAGUUCAUGCGAGAGCUGGUUCUUUAAAAGAGCCUGGUACCUCCUCCCCUCUCUCUUGCUCCCUCUCUGUGUGACACAUCUGCUCCUUCUUCACCUCUGCCAUGAGGAAAAACUUCCUGAGGCCUCAACAGAAACUGAGCAGAUGCUGGUGCCAUGCUUGCAUAGCCUGCAGAAUCAAGAGCCAAAUAAACCUCUUUUCUUUAUAAAUUACCCAGGUUCUUCUUUUUGGCAAUACAAAACAGACUAAUACACCAGCUGAAAUACCAACUUCUCUCUCUCAAAGAAAGCAAUGGCAAUGCAAGUGAGUGUGAAUGAUGCUACUUGAGGCAAAAUCAUGAAUGUGCGCCCACACACACGUAGAUAUGAGUGGUUUGAAAAGGAAUCAUUCAGAAAUUUUUGACACUUGUUUUCAUUAACUGGAAAUUACUUGAGACAAACCUUAUGAUGAAUCAUGACACCCUGUGUGGCCACACAGCGGGGGCAGCUGCUGCUGGUCUAUUUUUUCAGCUGUUAUAUCCUCUUUUUACCCUACCCAAAGCCAUACUCAGGUCCCAACUCCUCUUAAAAGCCCACAGUGGACCUAUGCUUCUACAGUGAACUUGUGCUAUACUUAAAGUUGAUAAUCUUGAUGUUAGUUGUCUUCUGAGGCAGCUCCAUAAGCUAUUUAAAACACAAGAUUAUACCUUGCAUUUGUUUGUUCUCCUUUCUAGAGCAUACAAUGCAUGUUGGACACUUUCAAAGCACUAUAUAACUAAUAAAAUAAUCAUUUAAUAAUUUCAUAAUACUGAAUUAUGAUAGCAUAUAAGAAUAAUCUUAAUUUCCUCUUCCCCAAAAAGUACCUUACAAGAAACUAUGUACAUAAAUAUCUGCUAUCUUCAAAGAAAGAAAACAAGACAAGAAAAUUUGCAUGGCAUCUGCAGAACCAAGGUUAGUAAUUUUCGACAAUCUAUAAAACUAUCAAGUUUACAAAAGUUCCGUCAGAAAAGGAGCCAAGAAAAAAAUAAAUCUGACAGCUGCAAACCUUCUGUUUUACAACACGCACAGAAUGGACGCACUUCCUUCGACAUCCUUAUAAACAGAGUGCUGAGCAAAUGCAAACAUCCCGGGUAGAAGUCCAGUGGACUCCAGACUUAAUUAAUGGAUUAUGCUUAUCUUUACAGAGGCAACCUUACUAGCCACCUAUCAACCCCACCACAAUUGCUUUAGGAACUAUUAAUAAGAUGGAUUGAACAAAAUUCCAUUUCAGUUGAUGGCAUUUCCAGGGCAAGCAAGACACCAGCAGCGGCUGCCCACUGUAAAAGAGCAGCAAUCUCACCAUCCUCAGAUUGGAAACCUUGUUUCCUUUAAGUUAAGAACUAACAUCCGGCACUGGACCACCUGAAUAUUUAGACUAAUAAAUCCCAGAUGGGAAUUCCAGACACCUCUUUACUAAAGACAUGCAGGCGAUAAACAUUCUAUUAAGCAAGUCUCCUAGGAGUGAGCUUCCCUUCAGAGACUGUUUUCAUUUACAACAUACUGUGUUUUCUAAAGCCAAUUUGGGAUCCCUCAUUGCACAAUGUGUAAUUAAUUUUGUCAUCUGUUAUUUAAUGGAUGAAAUUAAUCUGUGAAUGUAAAAAGGUAGCACCUUAAUUGUCCCUAAUAUCUUGUUAUUAGAUCAGAGAAAGACAAAAGUAUACUAUUUGGCCACAGCCCCAAAUUCUGAAUCAGCCAUCCAGUAUAGAACCAAACAAUGUAUGCGCUUAUAUUAAGCUAUAUCUUAAUAUCCUAGAAAUAAUAAGCAUAAUUUAUCAAGCACCUAUUAUGUGCUAAGUACAAUCGUAGGCACAUAAUAGAACAUACCUCUACUCUUACUACGUAUCAGCAUAGCGGUGUUUUCUAGCUCAUGAAGUGCUGCUGCAUACGUUGCCACUAACCCUCAUAACAAUCCUAAAAGGAAGGUAUCUUGGGAAUUACUAACUCUGCUCCUGAUAAGGAUACAGAUCCUCAGAGAAAUCAAGUGGCUGGCCCACAGUAACCUAGCUAGGAUUGAGUGUUAGCUGAGAGUAACUGUGGGUCUUCUGACCUCACUCCAC